GCUCGUUUUUCCCGAGUCCCCAGUUCUCUUGAUUGUACCAAGAGAGUUUAUAUAGCGCAAUGGACUGGCCAGCCACAUGCUCGCUCAUUCGAUUAGUCUUGUGAUCGACCUGGAGACGUCUUUCUCAAUGUCGAAGUUAUAUCUUAGAAAUGCUUCAUUAGUGUUUAACGUUAGUUAUUGGUACACUGCUGCCACUUGAGUCUUGCAAUGCUCCUGAACUGGUCAUUAACGUUAGCUCCAAGUAGCUAGAUUGGUAGUUGUGGAGGGUUGGGCCUUGCAGAACCAUGCACGUGGGGAACUGAAGAUACGUAAACCAUGCCGGGUUCUAGAUUCGGGAGACCACUCCUUCUGGACCUGGCCAGUGUGGAGUGGACUGGAGCAUGCACCAUUGACUGCACAUGGCUGGAGUGACACUGCCCCCAAUGAGUUGAUGACUAGGAGACUCAAGGUGGUGUCCCUUUGAAUAACAUCCCUAUAAGGUCUCCCUGAACUGGACAUGUAGACUGAGAUUCUCUUCCACGUGGCCGGAGUUUCCAAGAUGGUCAGCGCUUCCUUUCUUGCUCUGGAAGUGAUGUCACUGAGGGGAACAGCCAUCAACUGGAGGAAGAAAGGAAUUGUGUGGUAGCCCAUAUGGGACCCACCUGAGACAUGGAGACCUAAAGCUCAAAACAUUGUUGUAAUAAAUAUCACUUGGGAGCAGCAGUGUACAUUGUUCUCCUUAUGCAUGUUCUGCUUUGUUUAUUUUGAGGUUUUGCUGAGUAAUGGUGUUUUUUUGUCUGUGAUUAUAGAAGAGACAGUCUCAUUCUUUGAACUUCAAUAAAUAGGUUUUAACCCGGG
Long non-coding RNA from Salvelinus namaycush (lake trout), 837 nucleotides. RefSeq lists it as uncharacterized. The transcript is spliced from 6 exons. NCBI's taxonomy places the organism in Eukaryota, Metazoa, Chordata, Actinopteri, Salmoniformes, Salmonidae. The record is from RefSeq and is a predicted model, not a curated record.